AGGAAGAGAAAGAAAAUUCGAUUCCCUGAGUAGCGGCGAGCGAAACGGGAAGAGCCCAAACCAACAAGCUUGCUUGUUGGGGUUGUAGGACUCCAAUAUGGUAGUCUGUUAGUAUAGUUGAAGGAUUUGGAAAAUUCCGCUAAAGAGGGUGAAAGCCCCGUAGACGAAAUGCUGACAACACCUAGGAGGAUCCUGAGUACGGCGGAACACGAGAAAUUCCGUCGGAAUCCGCGGGGACCAUCCCGCAAGGCUAAAUACUCCCUAGUGACCGAUAGUGAACCAGUACCGUGAGGGAAAGGUGAAAAGCACCCCGGAAGGGGAGUGAAAUAGAUCCUGAAACCGUGUGCCUACAACAAGUCAAAGCUCGUUAAUGAGUGAUGGCGUGCCUUUUGUAGAAUGAACCGGCGAGUUACGAUUGCAUGCGAGGUUAAGUCGAAGAGACGGAGCCGCAGCGAAAGCGAGUCUGAAUAGGGCGAAUGAGUAUGUAGUCGUAGACCCGAAACCAUGUGAUCUACCCAUGUCCAGGUUGAAGGUGCGGUAAAACGCACUGGAGGACCGAACCCACGUACGUUGAAAAGUGCGGGGAUGAGGUGUGGGUAGCGGAGAAAUUCCAAACGAACUUGGAGAUAGCUGGUUCUCUCCGAAAUAGCUUUAGGGCUAGCCUCGGAAUUGAGAAUGAUGGAGGUAGAGCACUGUUUGGACUAGGGGCCCAUCUCGGGUUACCGAAUUCAGAUAAACUCCGAAUGCCAUUCAUUUAUAUCCGGGAGUCAGACUGCGAGUGAUAAGAUCCGUAGUCGAAAGGGAAACAGCCCAGACCACCAGCUAAGGUCCCAAAAUAUAUGUUAAGUGGAAAAGGAUGUGGGGUUGCACAGACAACUAGGAUGUUGGCUUAGAAGCAGCCACCAUUUAAAGAGUGCGUAAUAGCUCACUAGUCGAGUGACCCUGCGCCGAAAAUGUACCGGGGCUAAACAUAUUACCGAAGCUGUGGACUACACCAUUAGGUGUAGUGGUAGGAGAGCGUUCUAAGGGCGUUGAAGGUCGAUCGUGAGGACGGCUGGAGCGCUUAGAAGUGAGAAUGCCGGUAUGAGUAGCGAAAGACAGGUGAGAAUCCUGUCCACCGUAUGACUAAGGUUUCCUGGGGAAGGCUCGUCCGCCCAGGGUUAGUCGGGACCUAAGCCGAGGCCGAUAGGCGUAGGCGAUGGACAACAGGUUGAUAUUCCUGUACCAGUUGUUUUUGUUUGAGCAAUGGAGGGACGCAGUAGGCUAAGGAAUGCAUGCGAUUGGAAGUGCAUGUCCAAGCAAUGAGUCUUGAGUAGAGUUAAAUGCUUUACUCUCUAAGGACAAGUUGUGACGGGGAGCGAAAUAAUAGUAGCGAAGUUCCUGAUGUCACACUGCCAAGAAAAGCUUCUAGUGAGAAAACAACUGCCCGUACCGUAAACCGACACAGGUAGUCGAGGAGAGUAUCCUAAGGUGAGCGAGCGAACUCUCGUUAAGGAACUCGGCAAAAUGACCCCGUAACUUCGGGAGAAGGGGUGCUGACUUCGGUCAGCCGCAGUGAAUAGGCCCAAGCGACUGUUUAUCAAAAACACAGGUCUCUGCAAAAUCGUAAGAUGAAGUAUAGGGGCUGACGCCUGCCCGGUGCUGGAAGGUUAAGAGGAUGGGUUAGCUUCGGCGAAGCUCAGAAUUGAAGCCCCAGUAAACGGCGGCCGUAACUAUAACGGUCCUAAGGUAGCGAAAUUCCUUGUCGGGUAAGUUCCGACCCGCACGAAAGGCGUAACGAUUUGGGCACUGUCUCAACGAGAGACUCGGUGAAAUUUUAGUACCUGUGAAGAUGCAGGUUACCCGCGACAGGACGGAAAGACCCCAUGGAGCUUUACUGUAGUUUGAUAUUGAGUGUUUGUACCACAUGUACAGGAUAGGUAGGAGCCGAUGAGACCGGAACGCUAGUUUCGGAGGAGGCGCUGGUGGGAUACUACCCUUGUGUUAUGAACCCUCUAACCCGCACCACUAAUCGUGGUGGGAGACAGUGUCAGAUGGGCAGUUUGACUGGGGCGGUCGCCUCCUAAAAGGUAACGGAGGCGCCCAAAGGUUCCCUCAGAAUGGUUGGAAAUCAUUCGAAGAGUGUAAAGGCAGAAGGGAGCUUGACUGCGAGACCUACAAGUCGAGCAGGGACGAAAGUCGGGCUUAGUGAUCCGGUGGUUCCGCAUGGAAGGGCCAUCGCUCAACGGAUAAAAGCUA
RNAcentral lists this ribosomal RNA (2238 nucleotides) under human gut metagenome. RNAcentral describes it as "bacterial LSU rRNA". It matches the Rfam family "Bacterial large subunit ribosomal RNA", at positions 214 to 2465 of the family's 2925-position model. The record is from RNAcentral.